This 446-nucleotide ribosomal RNA is filed under the name uncultured bacterium. RNAcentral's name for it is "partial 16S ribosomal RNA". It matches the Rfam family "Bacterial small subunit ribosomal RNA", at positions 338 to 795 of the family's 1533-position model. The record is from RNAcentral.
CCUACGGGGCGCAGCAGUCGAGAAUCAUUCACAAUGGGGGAAACCCUGAUGGUGCGACGCCGCGUGGGGGAAUGAAGGUCUUCGGAUUGUAAACCCCUGUCAUGUGGGAGCAAAUUAAAAAGAUAGUACCACAAGAGGAAGAGACGGCUAACUCUGUGCCAGCAGCCGCGGUAAUACAGAGGUCUCAAGCGUUGUUCGGAAUCACUGGGCGUAAAGGGUGCGUAGGCUGUUUCGUAAGUCGUGUGUGAAAGGCGCGGGCUCAACCCGCGGACGGCACAUGAUACUGCGAGACUAGAGUAAUGGAGGGGGAACCGGAAUUCUCGGUGUAGCAGUGAAAUGCGUAGAUAUCGAGAGGAACACUCGUGGCGAAGGCGGGUUCCUGGACAUUAACUGACGCUGAGGCACGAAGGCCAGGGGAGCGAAAGGGAUUAGAUACCCCAGUAGUC